This 53-nucleotide transfer RNA is filed under the name Phenacobius catostomus (riffle minnow). Its description in RNAcentral is "tRNA-Val". Lineage: Eukaryota; Metazoa; Chordata; Actinopteri; Cypriniformes; Leuciscidae. The record is from RNAcentral.
UCAGGGUGUGGCUGAGCUAGUUAAGUAUCUCACUUACACCGAGAAGACAUCCA